Molecule: long non-coding RNA, 583 nt
Organism: Cebus imitator (Panamanian white-faced capuchin)
Lineage: Eukaryota; Metazoa; Chordata; Mammalia; Primates; Cebidae
Exons: 2
Source: RefSeq, a predicted model, not a curated record
AACUUGUCUUCCGUCAUCCAGCAAAGUUGGGAAUAUUGACUGGAUGGUGGAAGUAAAAACUCAGGCUGCUGGAGGAAGCAUAACUUGCAAAACAUAAUCACCUGGCUAGCAAUGCAACCAACUCUUUUGGUUUAAAAACCAAAUCCUUCAGGAACCAGCCGAUGUGUGUGGGCCGGGGGAGGUUUUAGAUGGAAGGAAGCUUAGAAGAAGCAUGUGUGUGUGUGUGUGUGUGUGUGUGUGUAUGUGUGUGUGUGUGUGUGUGUCUCAGCACAUGGAGUUACCCUGUCCAUGUCAUGCAUUUCUCUAGAGAAUGAUGGGAUCUGUGAUCUGUACCUCUGUAUACAGAACCAUUGUCCCUGGGUCCCUGCCUGUCCCUGCUCCAGGAAAGUGUUGGAUCCUCCCAAGUCCAAGGGAAGUGAUUAGGACACAGACAACAGACAGAAAGUGACCAUAGGAGGACACAGUGAGAAGCCAGCCAUCUGCAAGCCAAGGAGAGAGGCCUCGGGAGAAACCAAACUUGCCAACACCUUGAUUUUAGACUUCUAGCCCUCAGAACGGUGAGGAAAUGUAUCUCUGUUUCUCA